RNAcentral lists this ribosomal RNA (305 nucleotides) under uncultured bacterium. RNAcentral's name for it is "bacterial SSU rRNA". It matches the Rfam family "Bacterial small subunit ribosomal RNA", at positions 337 to 639 of the family's 1533-position model. The record is from RNAcentral.
UCCUACGGGGCGCAGCAGUGAGGAAUAUUGGUCAAUGGGCGGAAGCCUGAACCAGCCAAGUCGCGUGAGGGAAUAAGGCCCUACGGGUCGUAAACCUCUUUUGCCGGGGAGCAAGGGCCGGGACGCGUCCCGGCCCGGAGAGUACCCGGAGAAAAAGCAUCGGCUAACUCCGUGCCAGCAGCCGCGGUAAUACGGAGGAUGCGAGCGUUAUCCGGAUUUAUUGGGUUUAAAGGGUGCGCAGGCGGCCUGUUAAGUCAGCGGUAAAAGCCCGGGGCUCAACCCCGGCGAGCAGUUGAAACUGGCGG